CAGCAGUCGCCGCGGGAAUACGGAGGGUGCAAGCGUUAAUCGGAAUUACUGGGCGUAAAGCGCACGCAGGCGGUCUGUCAAGUCAGAUGUGAAAUCCCCGGGCUUAACCUGGGAAUUGCAUUCGAUACUGGGAAGCUAGAGUAUGGGAGAGGAUGGUAGAAUUCCAGGUGUAGCGGUGAAAUGCGUAGAGAUCUGGAGGAAUACCGAUGGCGAAGGCAGCCAUCUGGCCUAAUACUGACGCUGAGGUACGAAAGCAUGGGGAGCAAACAGGAUUAGAUACCCCUGUAGUCCCUGUCUCUUAUAC
This 304-nucleotide ribosomal RNA is filed under the name uncultured bacterium. RNAcentral's name for it is "partial 16S ribosomal RNA". It matches the Rfam family "Bacterial small subunit ribosomal RNA", at positions 509 to 807 of the family's 1533-position model. The record is from RNAcentral.